CACAAAUCAGAUUUGAAUCUAAUGC
RNAcentral lists this non-coding RNA (25 nucleotides) under Cricetulus griseus (Chinese hamster). The record is from RNAcentral. Lineage: Eukaryota; Metazoa; Chordata; Mammalia; Rodentia; Cricetidae.